UCACAAUCUUUCCAAGCUUCCUUAUAAAUGGUUUACAACUGUCGAGAAACGUACACGAGAAUCUAACAUUUUUAUAUACAUGUAGUUCAUCCUUUCAUCUCAUUCCUAACUACCUCGUUAGAAUGUAACUAGCACCAUAAUUAAACAAACUUUACACACAAUACCUUUGGCAACAACCCAAGAUUCCUAAAAAGCCUUAAUAUUCUCACCUAUCUCUUCUUCUUAACGAUCAAACAUGAUGGGAACAAUCCUUACAAUAUUCUAACGUCUACUACACGCUCGAUCUAUAUGCGAAAAGUAUCAAUUGGGCGGAUAGUACUACACCCAUCAUAUUACUUUUGAUUAACUCGUCAAACUCAGAACCCACCAUACUAGGUGUUACAAUUAACCUACAGGAGGGACAUGACCAUGUGGCAGGUAGUGUGGAAGGUUCUUGGCUAUGUGAGAUUCGAACUAGCUUAGGGUUUGCAAGGUGCAUGGUCGUGUGGUCCACACGCCCAUGUGACCCUAAGCCUACACACAAUUUAUCUCGAUUCACUUGUAAAAGAACACACACUUUUCAUUAGGAGCCCGAUCGACGUUCCUCACGAUCAAAUAUGAUCCGAUGUACCCAAAACAUGCC
RNAcentral lists this long non-coding RNA (622 nucleotides) under Gossypium raimondii (Peruvian cotton). Its description in RNAcentral is "long non-coding RNA (GRAI_LNC008271)". The record is from RNAcentral. Lineage: Eukaryota; Viridiplantae; Streptophyta; Magnoliopsida; Malvales; Malvaceae.